GCGAGCUACCAUGCAGUCGAGCGGAACGAUUGGAGCUUGCUGGAAGACGUCGAGCGGCGGACGGGUGAGUAACACUUAGGAAUCUACCUAGUAGUGGGGGAUAGCUCGGGGAAACUCGAAUUAAUACCGCAUACGUCCUACGGGAGAAAGGGGGCAACUUGUUGCUCUCGCUAUUAGAUGAGCCUAAGUCGGAUUAGCUAGUUGGUGGGGUAAAGGCCUACCAAGGCGACGAUCUGUAGCUGGUCUGAGAGGAUGAUCAGCCACACCGGGACUGAGACACGGCCCGGACUCCUACGGGAGGCAGCAGUGGGGAAUAUUGGACAAUGGGGGCAACCCUGAUCCAGCCAUGCCGCGUGUGUGAAGAAGGCCUUUUGGUUGUAAAGCACUUUAAGCAGUGAAGAAGACCUAACGGUUAAUACCCGUUAGCGAUGACAUUAGCUGCAGAAUAAGCACCGGCUAACUCUGUGCCAGCAGCCGCGGUAAUACAGAGGGUGCAAGCGUUAAUCGGAAUUACUGGGCGUAAAGCGAGCGUAGGUGGCUUGAUAAGUCAGAUGUGAAAUCCCCGGGCUUAACCUGGGAACUGCAUCUGAUACUGUUAGGCUAGAAUAGGUGAGAGGAAGGUAGAAUUCCAGGUGUAGCGGUGAAAUGCGUAGAGAUCUGGAGGAAUACCGAUGGCGAAGGCAGCCUUCUGGCAUCAUAUUGACACUGAGGUUCGAAAGCGUGGGUAGCAAACAGGAUUAGAUACCCUGGUAGUCCACGCCGUAAACGAUGUCUACUAGUCGUUGGGUCCCUUGAGGACUUAGUGACGCAGCUAACGCAAUAAGUAGACCGCCUGGGGAGUACGGCCGCAAGGUUAAAACUCAAAUGAAUUGACGGGGGCCCGCACAAGCGGUGGAGCAUGUGGUUUAAUUCGAUGCAACGCGAAGAACCUUACCUGGUCUUGACAUAUCUAGAAUCCUGCAGAGAUGCGGGAGUGCCUUCGGGAAUUAGAAUACAGGUGCUGCAUGGCUGUCGUCAGCUCGUGUCGUGAGAUGUUU
Molecule: ribosomal RNA, 1037 nt
Filed under: Psychrobacter sp. ZYFB009
Lineage: Bacteria; Pseudomonadati; Pseudomonadota; Gammaproteobacteria; Moraxellales; Moraxellaceae
Description: bacterial SSU rRNA
Rfam family: Bacterial small subunit ribosomal RNA
Source: RNAcentral